Molecule: long non-coding RNA, 572 nt
Organism: Astatotilapia calliptera (eastern happy)
Lineage: Eukaryota; Metazoa; Chordata; Actinopteri; Cichliformes; Cichlidae
Source: Ensembl
GUUACUAAGACAAUCCUAUAACCCUACCUGCAUGUUUGCAUAAUACCCUAACCCAAAGGCUCAGUUUAGCAUUUAUCCAACAGCACAGGCCCUGGAUUGUUGAAGAUGGCCUCAGGAACCAGCACAGGGCCUGGUGUGUUGUACAUGGCCACAGCUAGCAGCACAGGGCCUGGUUUGGUGAAGAUGGCCUCGGCCAGAAGCGCAGGACCUGGUGUGAUAUGAGUGGCCUGAGCAAGAGCCACAGGCCCUGGUGUGGUGUAAGUGGCCUGAGCAAGAGCCACAGACCCUGGUGUGGUGUAAGUGGCCUCAGCCAGCAGCCACAGGCCCUGGUGUGGUGUAAUUGGCCUCAAUAGCAACUAAGGCCCUGGUGUGGUGUAAUUGGCCUCAAUAGCAACUAAUGCCCUGGUGUGGUGUAAGUGGCCUCAGCCAGUGCCACAGGCCCUGGUGUGGUGUAAGUGGCCUGAGCAAGAGUCACAGACCCUGGUGUGGUGUAAUUGGCCUGAGCAAGAGCCACAGGCCCUGGUGUGGUGUAAGUGGCCUCAGCCAGUGCCACAGGCCCUGGUGUGGUGUAA